AGUGAACGCUGGCGGUAGGCCUAACACAUGCAAGUCGAACGGCAGCACAGUAAGAGCUCGCUCUUACGGGUGGCGAGUGGCGGACGGGUGAGGAAUACAUCGGAAUCUACUUUUUCGUGGGGGAUAACGUAGGUAAACUUACGCUAAUACCGCAUACGCCCUACGGGUGAAAGCAGGGGAUCUUCGGACCUUGCGCGAUUGAAUGAGCCGAUGUCGGAUUCGCUAGUUGGCGGGGUAAAGGCCCACCAAGGCGACGAUCCGUAGCUGGUCUGAGAGGGUGAUCAGCCACACUGGAACUGAGACACGCUCCCGACUCCUACAGGAGGCAGCAGUGGGGAAUAUUGGACGAUGGGCGCAAGCCUGAUCCAGCCAUACCGCGUGGGUGAAGAAGGCCUUCGGGUUGUAAAGUCCUUUUGUUGGGAAAGAAAAGCAGCAGGUUAAUAACCCGCUGUUCUGACAGUACCCAAAGAAUAAGCACCGGCUAACUUCGUG
Molecule: ribosomal RNA, 492 nt
Filed under: uncultured bacterium
Lineage: Bacteria
Description: partial 16S ribosomal RNA
Rfam family: Bacterial small subunit ribosomal RNA
Source: RNAcentral